This 164-nucleotide ribosomal RNA is filed under the name uncultured bacterium. RNAcentral's name for it is "partial 16S rRNA". It matches the Rfam family "Bacterial small subunit ribosomal RNA", at positions 355 to 511 of the family's 1533-position model. The record is from RNAcentral.
UAGGGAAUCUUCCACAAUGGACGAAAGUCUGAUGGGGCAACGCCGCGUGAGUGAAGAAGGUUUUCGGAUCGUAAAGCUCUGUUGUUGGUGAAGAAGGAUAGAGGCAGUAACUGGUCUUUAUUUGACGGUAAUCAACCAGAAAGUCACGGCUAACUACGUGCCAA